RNAcentral lists this ribosomal RNA (747 nucleotides) under Methanothermobacter sp. RNAcentral describes it as "bacterial SSU rRNA". It matches the Rfam family "Archaeal small subunit ribosomal RNA", at positions 111 to 859 of the family's 1478-position model. The record is from RNAcentral. Lineage: Archaea; Methanobacteriati; Methanobacteriota; Methanobacteria; Methanobacteriales; Methanobacteriaceae.
AGCCAUGGGAGGGAACCCCGGGAACUGGGGAUAAACCCGGAUAGGUGAAGAUGCCUGGAAUGGUGCUUCACCGAAACACCUCCGGGUGCCCAAGGAUGGGUCUGCGGCCGAUUAGGUUGUUGGUAGGGUAACGGCCUACCAAGCCGAUCAUCGGUACGGGUUGUGAGAGCAAGAGCCCCGGAGAUGGACCUGAGACAAGGUUCCGGGCCCUACGGGGCGCAGCAGGCGCGAAAACCUCCGCAAUGCACGCAAGUGCGACGGGGGAACCCCAAGUGCCACUCUUAACGGGGUGGCUUUUCAGAAGUGUAAAAAGCUUCUGGAAUAAGGGCUGGGCAAGACCGGUGCCAGCCGCCGCGGUAACACCGGCAGCUCAAGUGGUAGCCGCUUUUAUUGGGCCUAAAGCGUCCGUAGCCGGUCUGAUAAGUCUCUGGUGAAAUCCCACAGCUUAACUGUGGGAAUUGCUGGAGAUACUAUCAUGACUCGAGGUCGGGAGAGGCUGGAGGUACUCCCAGGGUAGGGGUGAAAUCCUGUAAUCCUGGGAGGACCACCUGUGGCGAAGGCGUCCAGCUGGAACGAACCUGACGGUGAGGGACGAAAGCCAGGGGCGCGAACCGGAUUAGAUACCCGGGUAGUCCUGGCCGUAAACGAUGUGGACUUGGUGUUGGGAUGGCUUCGAGCUGCCCCAGUGCCGAAGGGAAGCUGUUAAGUCCACCGCCUGGGAAGUACGGCCGCAAGGCUGAAACUUAA